CUUUAAACUUAUCCUUUUUCUUACCUUGGCUUUGUCUGCUUACUCGAGAAGCAAAACCACUCGAUCCCAAAGGCGUAUAAAGAGGAAAGGAGAGAUUUUGUGCUGUGGUUUUGGUUUUUGAAAAAUGGCUUCAGCUCUGUUACUGGUGGUGGUGUUUGUGUUUGAUCUGGUUGCUUUUGCUUUUGCCGUUGCUGCUGAGCAGAGGAGGAAUACUGCAGAGGUCAUCACACAAGAAGAUUAUAAGUACUGUAAAUAUGAUUCAGAUGUUGCAACUGGAUUAGGUGCUGGUGCGUUCGUGGCCCUUAUGGCUAGUCAAAUCCUAAU
RNAcentral lists this unclassified non-coding RNA (324 nucleotides) under Hevea brasiliensis (rubber tree). The record is from RNAcentral. Lineage: Eukaryota; Viridiplantae; Streptophyta; Magnoliopsida; Malpighiales; Euphorbiaceae.